RNAcentral lists this ribosomal RNA (497 nucleotides) under uncultured bacterium. RNAcentral describes it as "partial 16S ribosomal RNA". It matches the Rfam family "Bacterial small subunit ribosomal RNA", at positions 28 to 507 of the family's 1533-position model. The record is from RNAcentral.
GAUGAACGCUGGCGGCGUGCCUAAUACAUGCAAGUCGAGCGAACGGACGAGAAGCUUGCUUUUCUGAUGUUAGCGGCGGACGGGUGAGUAACACGUGGAUAACCUACCUAUAAGGCUGGGAUAACUUCGGGAAACCGGAGCUAAUACCGGAUAAUAUUUUGAACCGCAUGGUUCAAAAGUGAAAGACGGUCUUGCUGUCACUUAUAGAUGGAUCCGCGCUGCAUUAGCUAGUUGGUAAGGUAACGGCUUACCAAGGCAACGAUGCAUAGCCGACCUGAGAGGUUGAUCGGCCACACUGGAACUGAGACACGGUCCAGACUCCUACGGGAGGCAGCAGUAGGGAAUCUUCCGCAAUGGGCGAAAGCCUGACGGAGCAACGCCGCGUGAGUGAUGAAGGUCUUCGGAUCGUAAAACUCUGUUAUUAGGGAAGAACAUAUGUGUAAGUAACUGUGCACAUCUUGACGGUACCUAAUCAGAAAGCCACGGCUAACUACGUG